This 253-nucleotide ribosomal RNA is filed under the name uncultured bacterium. Its description in RNAcentral is "partial 16S ribosomal RNA". It matches the Rfam family "Bacterial small subunit ribosomal RNA", at positions 524 to 776 of the family's 1533-position model. The record is from RNAcentral.
UACGGAGGGGGCUAGCGUUGUUCGGAAUUACUGGGCGUAAAGGGCGUGCAGGCGGUUUGUUAAGUGCAGGGUGAAAGCUCCCGGCUCAACUGGGAGAGGUCCUUGCAUACUGGCAAACUCGAGGGAGGCAGAGGAAAGUGGAAUUCCCGGUGUAGUGGUGAUAUGCGUAGAUAUCGGGAGGAACACCUGUGGCGAAGGCGGCUUUCUGGGCCUUACCUGACGCUGAGACGCGAAAGCGUGGGGAGCGAACCGG